RNAcentral lists this long non-coding RNA (253 nucleotides) under Lathyrus oleraceus (garden pea). RNAcentral's name for it is "Pisum sativum (pea) long non-coding RNA (PSAT_LNC017722)". Lineage: Eukaryota; Viridiplantae; Streptophyta; Magnoliopsida; Fabales; Fabaceae. The record is from RNAcentral.
GGGGUUCAAAUCGGAGAAUGGGGUUCAUUAUUUUGGCAAACAGAAGAGCGGGGUUCAAAUGCGGUGAUCCGAGGAUCAUUUGCGCAAGAGAAAAUCUUGGGGUUCAAGAAAAUGAAAAAUAGAGAAAAUUUCGGGGUUCAAGAAAAGCAUAAAAAGAAGAAAGAAUAACAAUCCCGAGCGGAUGUGUGGUGAUCAGGCCAUGGUUAUCCCUGUGUUACCAUUUAUUUUGGUAUCCGGGUCGACUGUUUCGGUG